Non-coding RNA from Onthophagus taurus, 1193 nucleotides. Lineage: Eukaryota; Metazoa; Arthropoda; Insecta; Coleoptera; Scarabaeidae. The record is from RefSeq and is a predicted model, not a curated record.
UAAUUAAUUAAUUAAUCAGUUAUUUUUACCCCCUUCUUUUUUAUUUUUCUUUUUCACAUCUUUUUUUAUAUAAAGUUUAAGUAAACUUGUUCCUUAAGGCUGCUAAUGUACUUAAAACAAAAAAAAAUAACUUAAAUGAACCCAAUUUUUGUUUGCCAGUAAAAUUUUUUUAAUUUAUUUAAAUCCGCUUUGAAAUUUUUACCCGAUACGCAUCACAUAAAUGUUAUUAUUUAAACAAAAAAUGACUUAAAAUACUUCUUGUUCAUCUUCGUAUAGAUAAAGAUAUAGAGAGACUUAAAAAAAAAAACUUCUUGUAUUAUAACGGAUAUUGAUGACGAUUAUGAUGAUGAUGAUAUUAAUUUUAAACAAAUUUUAAAAGCGGUUAUUAUUUAUCUGAAAUAUUUCGCCCCCUCAUCCUCCGUAAAAACGUAUAAAUGAUGAAUGAAUAAAAAUAAAUAAUAAAAAAAAAUUAUGAUGAUGUGGUGAGACUGCUCGAAACUGGAUAUUAUAUGUAGCGUUAUUUUCCCUGGAUUUAUAGUUUUUAAUUUUUUUCUUAAACGAAUAAAUGAAUCCUCUUUGAAUGAUGACGAAGAGGGUUGUUUGUUUAAUCGGUGGUUUUAUCCAGUUUUUUGCCGUCCGAUUCGAUGAAUCUAAUGAGAUAAAUUGUAUAAAUUACUGUAAAAUAUAAGCAAGUGGAUAUGUAAAGAGUUGUUUUAUUUAUUUCAAUUUGACAUCUUCAAGUCAAAAUUUUCAAUCCCAAUAAAUUCCAAAUUUAUCAUAAAAUGUAACUUAUUAUAAUCAAUUUUCGCGAAAUAGGAAUGAUCCGAAGUAUAAGCGCAACAACAACAAUCUUCAUUCGAGACAGGUUUAAUAAUGGGGGAAGAACAUCUAAAACAUACAAAAAAUUAAGAAAUUUUCGAAAUUAUGGCAAACCAGUGUGUCAAAGAAGCAGGCAAUGUCCGCCUUUACCCCCAAAGAAAUUACCCAUUUUUAAGAUAGCACUUGGAGUGUUACUCUUGGCGUUUGGGGCCGUAAUCGGGUACGCAAAAUACGACGAUGACUUUCGUUGUGAUCUCACCGAACGCUUUCCGGUAACCGAUGAUAUUAUUAGAUUUGUUUUUCGAGAAGAUUGUUAAACUAAAUCCGUUCUUUUAAUUAUUUUAACAUCUUAUAUAAAGUAAUAUUCAUCAAAA